Molecule: non-coding RNA, 28 nt
Filed under: Rattus norvegicus (Norway rat)
Lineage: Eukaryota; Metazoa; Chordata; Mammalia; Rodentia; Muridae
Source: RNAcentral
UACCACUGAGCUAAAUCCCCAGCCCCUC